UCAGACGAUGCGUCAUGCAUAUCAAUAAGCGGAGGAAAAGAAACUAACAAGGAUUCCCCUAGUAACGGCGAGUGAAGCGGGAAGAGCUCAAAUUUGAAAUCUUAAAGGGUUUCCCUUUACGAAUUGUAGUUUAAAGAAGUGUUUUCUGCUGAGGUUUUGGUAAAAGUUCUUUGGAAUAGGACAUCAUAGAGGGUGAGAAUCCCGUAUUUGACCUUUACUUUCAACUUUGUGAUACACUUUCAAAGAGUCGGAUUGUUUGGGAAUGCAGUCCAAAAUGGGUGGUAAAUUUCAUCUAAAGCUAAAUAUUGGCGAGAGACCGAUAGCGAACAAGUACCGUGAGGGAAAGAUGAAAAGAACUUUGAAAAGAGAGUUAAACAGUACGUGAAAUUGUCAAAAGGGAAGCGUUUGACACCAGUGUUGUUUUCUCGAAAAUCAAUUAAAAAUGGCUCGAUUUUGUAUUGCUGAGACCUUAAAAGUUCACUGUACAUUUUUCGUGUCUUUUUUAAUGCACUUUUCGUUUAACAAGUCAACAUCAGUUUCUUUUGUUGUAAAAGGGUCAUUGGAAGGUGGCUUUCUUUUCGGAGAAAGUGUUUAUAGCCUCUUGCCUAUGCAGUCGGAGAGAUUGAGGUCUGCAGCGUAGAUCCUUCGGGGCUAAAUGCAUUUGUGCUAAGUUAUAGCAUUUUAUAGACAACUUGUUGACUAUGAUUUGUCUUGUAGCUUACUCGCUUAUGUUAUUUUACCUACGCUUAGGAUGUUGAAGUCAUCGUAUCGCGC
Molecule: ribosomal RNA, 774 nt
Filed under: uncultured Neocallimastigales
Lineage: Eukaryota; Fungi; Neocallimastigomycota; Neocallimastigomycetes; Neocallimastigales
Description: partial large subunit ribosomal RNA
Rfam family: Eukaryotic large subunit ribosomal RNA
Source: RNAcentral